RNAcentral lists this ribosomal RNA (253 nucleotides) under uncultured bacterium. RNAcentral describes it as "partial 16S ribosomal RNA". It matches the Rfam family "Bacterial small subunit ribosomal RNA", at positions 524 to 776 of the family's 1533-position model. The record is from RNAcentral.
UACGUAGGGUGCAGGCGUUAAUCGGAAUUACUGGGCGUAAAGCGUGCGUAGGCGGUGUUCUAAGUUUGGUGUGAAAUCUCCCGGCUCAACCGGGAGGGUGCGCCGAAAACUGGGAUGCUGGAGUAUGGGAGAGGUAGGCGGAAUUCCUGGUGUAGCGGUGAAAUGCGUAGAUAUCAGGAGGAACACCAGCGGUGUAGACGGCUUACUGGACCAUCACUGACGCUGAGGCACGAAAGCGUGGGGAGCGAACAGG